RNAcentral lists this ribosomal RNA (489 nucleotides) under uncultured bacterium. RNAcentral's name for it is "bacterial SSU rRNA". It matches the Rfam family "Bacterial small subunit ribosomal RNA", at positions 28 to 507 of the family's 1533-position model. The record is from RNAcentral.
GAUGAACGCUAGCUACAGGCUUAACACAUGCAAGUCGAGGGGCAGCGGGAAUCUAGCUUGCUAGAUUUGCCGGCGACCGGCGCACGGGUGAGUAACACGUAUCCAACCUGGCCCAUACUCGGGUAUAGCCUCUCGAAAGGGAGAUUAAUCCCCGAUGUUGUUGGAUUACCGCAUGGUUUUUCAACCAAAGAAUUUCGGUAUGGGAUGGGGAUGCGUUCCAUUAGCUUGUUGGCGGGGUAACGGCCCACCAAGGCAACGAUGGAUAGGGGUUCUGAGAGGAAGGUCCCCCACACUGGAACUGAGACACGGUCCAGACUCCUACGGGAGGCAGCAGUGAGGAAUAUUGGUCAAUGGUCGUAAGACUGAACCAGCCAAGUAGCGUGAAGGAUGACUGCCCUAUGGGUUGUAAACUUCUUUUGUUUGGGAAUAAAGUUCGGGACGUGUCCCGUUUUGUAUGUACCAUUCGAAUAAGCAUCGGCUAAUUCCGUG